GAUGAACGCUGGCGGCGUGCCUAAUACAUGCAAGUCGAGCGAACGAACUUGAAGCUUGCUUCUCUGAUGUUAGCUUCGUACGGGUGAGUCACACGUGGAUAACCUACCUAUAAGACUUGGAUAACUUCGGGAAACCGGAGCUAAUACCGGAUAAUAUUUUGAACUGCAUGGUUCAAAAGUGAAAGACGGUCUUGCUGUCACUUAUUGAUGUAUCCUCGCUGCAUUAGAUAUUUGGUAAUGUAAGGGCUUACCAAGGCAACGAUGCAUAACCGACCUGCGAGGGUGAUCGGCAACACGGGAAGUGAGGAACGGUCCAGACUCCUACGGGAGGCAGCAGUAGGGAAUCUUACGCAAUGGGCGAAAGCCUGACGGAGCAAAGCCGCGUGAGUGAUGAAGGUCUGCGGAUCGUAAAACUCUGUUAUAAGGGAAGAACAUAUGUGUAAGUAACUGUGCACAUCUUGACGGUACCUAAUCAGAAAGCCACGGCUAAAUACGUG
This 497-nucleotide ribosomal RNA is filed under the name uncultured bacterium. Its description in RNAcentral is "partial 16S ribosomal RNA". It matches the Rfam family "Bacterial small subunit ribosomal RNA", at positions 28 to 507 of the family's 1533-position model. The record is from RNAcentral.